RNAcentral lists this ribosomal RNA (254 nucleotides) under uncultured bacterium. RNAcentral's name for it is "partial 16S ribosomal RNA". It matches the Rfam family "Bacterial small subunit ribosomal RNA", at positions 524 to 776 of the family's 1533-position model. The record is from RNAcentral.
GACGUAGGGCGCGAGCGUUGUCCGGAUUUAUUGGGCGUAAAGAGCUUGUAGGCGGUUUGUCGCGUCUGCCGUGAAAAUCCGAGGCUCAACCUCGGACUUGCGGUGGGUACGGGCAGACUAGAGUGUGGUAGGGGAGACUGGAAUUCCUGGUGUAGCGGUGAAAUGCGCAGAUAUCAGGAGGAACACCUGAAGUGAAGACGGGUUGCUGGGCCGACACUGACGCUGAUAGCGCGAAAGCCAGGGGAGCAAACGGG